This 425-nucleotide ribosomal RNA is filed under the name uncultured bacterium. RNAcentral describes it as "bacterial SSU rRNA". It matches the Rfam family "Bacterial small subunit ribosomal RNA", at positions 355 to 773 of the family's 1533-position model. The record is from RNAcentral.
UGGGGAAUCUUGCGCAAUGGGGGCAACCCUGACGCAGCGACGCCGCGUGAGUGAUGAAGGCCUUCGGGUUGUAAAGCUCUGUGGAGGGAGACGAAUAAGUCAUGGCUAACAUCCAUGAUGAUGACGGUAUCCCUUUAGCAAGCACCGGCUAACUCUGUGCCAGCAGCCGCGGUAAUACAGAGGAGCCAAGCGUUGUCCGGAUUGACUGGGCGUAAAGCGCACGCAGGCGGUCGGGCGCGUGGGGUGUGAAAUCUGGCCGCUUAACGGCCAGGCGCCAUCCCAUACGGCUCGACUGGAGCCUUGCAGAGGUCGGUGGAAUUGCCGGUGUAGUGGUGAAAUGCGUAGAGAUCGGCAGGAACACCCAGGGGGAAACCAGCCGACUGGGCAAGCGCUGACGCUGAGGUGCGAGAGCGUGGGGAGCGAAC